CGUGAUAUGACGUAAGACGAUGGCGACCCCUGUCCGACCUGAUGCUAACUGUCCAACGGCUAGCUAGGACGUGUUUGACUGAAAAACUAAAAAGAAGUGGCAGCCAUGGUAAAGAUAUUUCACAAUACGUGCAUAGUGAUGGUGGGAUGGGCUGCUGGACUUUCGUAAGACACCAGGAACCAGAAGCAAUACCACAUGACCCCAAAAGUUCCUGGGGCAAGGGAGGAAGACAGGCGAGCAGGAUUAAUGUUAAGUGUCAGAACUGCGAGGAAAGGUCAGAAAGAACAAGCUGCAAAGGAGACACCUCAACUGAACCUGCUGCCUUUGUAAAGACUGGGAGUUAAUGCUGAAUUCAUACAUAACAGAUGGUGUGGCUGUUGACCAUGCUGACGAUGGCCACGCCCAAGUUACAUCGGAUACCGAAGGAGAUGCAGAAGCCGAUUCCAGAGAGAAUGGCGAUAAUGUAGCGCCUGGGCAGACCGAAGCAUGUGCAGUCAACAAUGGGAAUCUCCUUCUCCUCCACCAGCUCCGGCCGGCCCUCUGCCGACAGCUCGAUGGUCUCGCCAUUUUCCUGCUUCUUCUCAAGAGCUCUGCAUUCAUCUGCUGACAGAACGGGCCCGCAGUGAAGAGUACAGUUUUAUUUCUUCUGGUACCACUGGAUGACCACUGAUAGUGUCAGACAAGGUGCAGAUUAGUGGUUUCCUCUUCUCUCAGCAAGUCUUGUAUUUGUGGUGGAGGGGGAGGAGGAGGUGCUGCUGCCGGGCCCUGAUGGGGCCUGAUCUCCUGCUCAGACUGCAGAGUGCUCUGGGAGCUGCUCAGUGGAAACACCAGAAGCAGGCAGAGAGCUGCCAGGCCCGCCAUGAGGGUCAUCCACCGGUACACCUACAAAUGAAAAGGGACAUGCAAAAAUAUGAUCAAGAACAGAUGAAAAUGA
Long non-coding RNA from Acanthopagrus latus (yellowfin seabream), 934 nucleotides. RefSeq lists it as uncharacterized. The transcript has 6 exons. NCBI's taxonomy places the organism in Eukaryota, Metazoa, Chordata, Actinopteri, Spariformes, Sparidae. The record is from RefSeq and is a predicted model, not a curated record.